AGUGGGGAAUAUUGCACAAUGGGCGCAAGCCUGAUGCAGCGACGCCGCGUGGGGGAUGAAGGCCUUCGGGUUGUAAACUCCUUUCGCUAGGGACGAAGCUUUUUGUGACGGUACCUAGAUAAGAAGCACCGGCUAACUACGUGCCAGCAGCCGCGGUAAUACGUAGGGUGCGAGCGUUGUCCGGAAUUACUGGGCGUAAAGGGCUCGUAGGUGGUUUGUCGCGUCGUCUGUGAAAUUCCGGGGCUUAACUCCGGGCGUGCAGGCGAUACGGGCAUAACUUGAGUGCUGUAGGGGUAACUGGAAUUCCUGGUGUAGCGGUGAAAUGCGCAGAUAUCAGGAGGAACACCGAUGGCGAAGGCAGGUUACUGGGCAGUUACUGACGCUGAGGAGCGAAAGCAUGGGUAGCGAACAGGAUUA
Molecule: ribosomal RNA, 417 nt
Filed under: Klebsiella pneumoniae
Lineage: Bacteria; Pseudomonadati; Pseudomonadota; Gammaproteobacteria; Enterobacterales; Enterobacteriaceae
Description: bacterial SSU rRNA
Rfam family: Bacterial small subunit ribosomal RNA
Source: RNAcentral